RNAcentral lists this ribosomal RNA (440 nucleotides) under uncultured bacterium. RNAcentral's name for it is "partial 16S ribosomal RNA". It matches the Rfam family "Bacterial small subunit ribosomal RNA", at positions 338 to 795 of the family's 1533-position model. The record is from RNAcentral.
CCUACGGGUGGCUGCAGUGGGGAAUAUUGCACAAUGGGGGAAACCCUGAUGCAGCGACGCCGCGUGAGUGAAGAAGGAAUUCGUUAUGUAAAGCUCUAUCAGCAGGGAAGAAAAUGACGGUACCUGAGUAAGAAGCCCCGGCUAACUACGUGCCAGCAGCCGCGGUAAUACGGAGGGGGCCAGCGUUAUCCGGAUUUACUGGGGGUAAAGGGAGCGUAGACGGGAGUGCAAGUCUGGAGUGAAAGGCGGGGGCUCAACCCCCGGACUGCCCUUGAAACUGGCCGGCUGGAGUGCAGGAGAGGUAAGUGGAAUGCCUGGUGUAGCGGUGAAAUGCGUAGAUAUUAGGAGGAACACCAGUGGCGAAGGCGGCUUACCGGACUGUAACUGACGUUGAGGCACGAAAGCGUGGGGAGCAAACAGGAUUAGAUACCCCGGUAGUC